UAAAAAAAAAAAAAAAAAAGGUAAGGAAAUAGGCAGAUAAUAUAACACAAUUUUAAAUCAAUUGAUAAUUAAGAAAGGGCAGCGACUUCUAAAAGCACAUAUUAAAUUAAAAAAUCUAACAUGAAAACUGAUAUCACAGGAACUUGCCCUCCGUUCACAAAAUUCCAAGCCUGUGGCAUCGAUAAAGAAUAAAGAACUUUGAGGUGUGUGAGUUGGGGAAUCUCAAGUAAAAUACAGAUUCAAACAUGCAACAAUUUAUUAGGAACUGAUCAAAGAUAUUAUGGUUAUUUGCUAAUAAAUUCUAAAUAUUCAGUUCCAAGACCCACAAAUAGCAUCCAUUUUGUACAAACCCAAUUCAGAAACAGGGCAUCCACCAUUCUGACUUUGAGAGUACUUCUCACUUAUUAAACAUCAUCCAUCACAUGGCAUAUUAGGAAAUUGAUGUUAAAGAGAUACAUAUACUAACAGAAGGAAUGCAUACUUGUAAAAUCUGUACCAUCCAUGUAAAGUUUACAUUCAGCAAUUCACUCAUAAGCUUUCAAGCUAACUGAAUAGAGCUCAUAAGCUUUUAAGCUAACAGAAUAGAGAAGUCAAAAAAUAAAGAAAUUAAAGCUUUUUCAAGUGAAAUUCUUAGAUGAAUCCUGUACAUCAUAAAACAUAGAUACAGCACUUGUUGGAUCCACAUAUGGCUUUUCUAGUCUUCGUGAUGAACCAAGUCCUGCCUUGCAUACAUGCAUAACUACCUCAAACUAAAGAAUAAUAUACAUGAGCCAUGAUAUUUAACCAAUUCCUUACUCAAGCUUUAUAUACCAGAUUUAUGGCUCAUCCAGAAAUAAAACUACACCCCAAAAGUUGCAGCAAAAGAGAUCUUUUUUAUCAGUUUAUAUUAAAGAAAAAUAACGCUGCACUCAAUUAUGUCAAUUCAAGACAAAUAUUUGCACAAGACCCAUUGAAUUUUAUUUUCAUAAUCUAUGAGAGCAAAAAUGUAAAAUACAGCACAACGGCUUCUAGAAAAUACAGUGACGAAAGAAAAGCUAACAGCACAUUAAGUGGCUGAACAUUGACCAUUGAAGAAUGAUAGAAAGCCACCUAUCCCAAAGAAGAAAAAAGUAGAAGAAAACACUAUAUUACAUUAUUCACAUCUGACUAUGGAGAGAUCCCUGUAAGGGAAUGAGGACCUACAGACCUUCACACAUUCCCAAGAAACUGGAAAACGACAACAUAUUACUCGCAGAGGUGGUGAAGAAGAGAAAUGAGGGUAUACCUUUGCAAUUGCCCAAAACUGAGCAAAAUCAGCUACCCGCAGAUUGCGGUCAUCCACUAAGACGAGGCACACAUACCAGCACAAAAAGGUCAAUUGCCAAACAAAACUGCAUCUGUAGUUAGUGAAAAUGAAAGCAGUGCACAAGCACUGAAUCACCACUAAAUCUAUAAUCAGACCAAAUCAUUUAAGUUGUUGAAUGCAUUAACAAGCCAGGAUAACCAGAAGAACCUUGAAUCACUUUAUAUUGUUUUUAAUCUUAUAAUUUGAAAUUUUUCUUUGAAGACAUUAAAAUGCUGCUAAUAUAUAAAGAUAAAAAGAAAGGUUUUCAUUGCCUUUAGCUCUACUCAAUAGAUCAAGCCUGCAAAGGAAAUAGUCAUUGACUUGGUACUAAAUCUAGGAUCAGAUGCAAGAAAUCUGACAACAAACCAAAUGGUUUAAAACCACAACAUGAUCAAACUAAAAGGGAACCAUGUCAACCAAUUAGGCCACAAUUGAAUUACUCCAUCUGCAAAGAAAUGGACAUCUCAAGAAAGCCACUAUCCUUGAAAUGGCUACAAUAUAAGGAGAGAAAACAAUUAAAAAAAGAAGGGCAUUAAGCAAAGAUAAUUAUCUUUAUCAUCAAUUAAAGGCCAAUUCCAGAGUAAAGGUUCAUACCAAUAACAAGCGUGAAGAUUCCCUCCUCAAGGGUCUUUUUGAAAGCUUUCAACAUGCUGUCUCGAUAA
This 1986-nucleotide unclassified non-coding RNA is filed under the name Hevea brasiliensis (rubber tree). The record is from RNAcentral. Lineage: Eukaryota; Viridiplantae; Streptophyta; Magnoliopsida; Malpighiales; Euphorbiaceae.